GCUAAUAGGGCUGCUAUUGCAGGCUACUUUGAUAUAGUAGAUUUAAAACAUGUGUGUUUCGUUAGUA
RNAcentral lists this transfer RNA (67 nucleotides) under Rhinebothrium megacanthophallus. RNAcentral's name for it is "tRNA-Ile". Lineage: Eukaryota; Metazoa; Platyhelminthes; Cestoda; Rhinebothriidea; Rhinebothriidae. The record is from RNAcentral.